Molecule: non-coding RNA, 1664 nt
Organism: Delphinapterus leucas (beluga whale)
Lineage: Eukaryota; Metazoa; Chordata; Mammalia; Artiodactyla; Monodontidae
Source: RefSeq, a predicted model, not a curated record
GUUCUAAAAUUGAUUGUGGUGAUAAUUGCACAGCUUUGUGAAGAUACUAAAAAACCACUGAAUUGUAUUCUGUACUUUAAAUAGUGAUGUUCUAUGGCAUAUGAGUUAUGGCUCAGUAAAGAUUUUAUUAAAAGAAGAUGAAGAAGAAGGAGAAUAAAGUAGCAUCGUCUGCCCCCCCGCAACCAUAGAAGGAUUAAGGAUUUGGGGGAAGCAUUCCGUGCAGAGAGAAUAGGUAAUAGAAUCUGCCUCUAAGAAGAUUAGAAUCUAUCCUCACGGGCCACACCAUUUGGUGGGGGACACAGAGGCAUAAAUCACUUGCUCUGGGGAUAGCCAGCUGACAUGUUGUAAGGACACUGAAGAAGCCUUAUGGAAAGGUCCACAUGGUGAGGAUCCUAAGUAUCUGGCCAGUAGCCAGGAAGGACCCGAGGCCUCCUGCCAACAGCCAUGUGUGACUGCAGCAAGCAGCUAGCAUCACUAGAAAGAAGAAACAGAGAAAAGAUGCUGGAAUUGCUAAAACACAGAAGCUUGGAGGAGGGGUCUCCUGGUGCUAGGUCCCAGAUCUCUGAGGAGGGGCACUGCUUGGCUCGGUCUGCUGUCUUUGAGAGGGUGCCAUGAAGCUAGUUCUGAGAGUGUUGGAAAAGCUGCAAACUGGCUUCAGCUGCUGCUUCAAGAAGGAAGUGUCACUGCCAACGUGAAGAAGCAUUGCUAGGGUGAUGGUCGCAGGAACAACAGCAGAGUCUAAUAGGAAGACAGCUGGCCAUGCCCAAAUGUCACUUUCAGAGCACCAAUGCCAGCUCCAGAUCAUGGACUUCAACCAGGAAAGCAGGAGAUCGGUAGGAUUUGUAUUCAGCUGUGGACGCAUACUUGACAAGCCAGGAGACUAUGUGAAAAGAAAAGGAGUCACCACUACAAGCAACCAUAAAAUUUACUUACAAAAGCAGGCAAUAGGCUGGAUUUGGUUUGCAAACCAAAGCUUGUGAAACUUGGAUACAGAAAAGUGUCAGAUAACCAUGACCUCUUUCCUUAACAUCUGUAUCCAAAUCAGCUCACAGCAAGAAUGAUCAUAUUGCCACUUUCCUUGGCCCAGCAUGUCGUUUCCACCCGGAGCCCCUCAACCUUAAGAGACUUCAGAGAUGCCUGCAUGUCAUAACCACUUGUUUCCCGCUGGGACAUCCAGAAGGGCAGGGUAAUUAUGGACUUUGCCCAUUAGCCACCAGAGACUAAUGCUUACUAACAGAGUCUGAGCACCAUGAUGUUAUAAUUCUGAAACUCUAAAAUGCAGUAAGAAAGGAGACUUGGGGAAAAUCUUUUUAAUUUGGUACCUAACUUUCUAUCCACACUGCAAGGCAUUUGGGAUCAGAGAUUUGAUUCUCUUUAUGAAGCCCUUCUAUAUAGAGAAUCACAUCCUACCUUUAUAUUGCAGCCUGAUACACCAGAGAAUUAAUUUUAUUAUUAACAUUAUGCUUUAAUUUUAGACAAAGAAUACAUUUUGAAACAAAGAAGGACCAAGAAAUACUACAAUUUGGAUAAGAAACAGUCUCCUUUAAUAGCAUGUUACAAGGAAAGAAAAACUUUGCCAAAUAUUUCCCUUACCUGGUUACUCCACUCUUCCCAAGAUAGUAAAUUCAGGGAGGAAAAAAAAAAAAAGAAGGAUAAAGUCUGAU